RNAcentral lists this ribosomal RNA (1397 nucleotides) under Pedobacter alluvionis. RNAcentral describes it as "bacterial SSU rRNA". It matches the Rfam family "Bacterial small subunit ribosomal RNA". The record is from RNAcentral. Lineage: Bacteria; Pseudomonadati; Bacteroidota; Sphingobacteriia; Sphingobacteriales; Sphingobacteriaceae.
CUAUACAUGCAGUCGAACGAGAUUAUCCAGGCUUGCUGGUAUUUGAAAGUGGCGCACGGGUGCGUAACGCGUAUGCAACCUACCUUAAUCAGGGGGAUAGCCCGGAGAAAUCCGGAUUAACACCGCAUAAAAACACAGGAUAGCAUUAUCCAAUGUUCAAAUAUUUAUAGGAUUAAGAUGGGCAUGCGUGUCAUUAGCUAGUUGGCGGGGUAACGGCCCACCAAGGCGACGAUGACUAGGGGAUCUGAGAGGAUGACCCCCCACACUGGUACUGAGACACGGACCAGACUCCUACGGGAGGCAGCAGUAAGGAAUAUUGGUCAAUGGAGGCAACUCUGAACCAGCCAUGCCGCGUGCAGGAAGACUGCCCUAUGGGUUGUAAACUGCUUUUAUCCGGGAAUAAACCUCUUUACGAGUAAAGAGCUGAAUGUACCGGAAGAAUAAGGAUCGGCUAACUCCGUGCCAGCAGCCGCGGUAAUACGGAGGAUCCAAGCGUUAUCCGGAUUUAUUGGGUUUAAAGGGUGCGUAGGCGGCCUGUUAAGUCAGGGGUGAAAGACGGUAGCUCAACUAUCGCAGUGCCCUUGAUACUGAUGGGCUUGAAUGGACUAGAGGUAGGCGGAAUGAGACAAGUAGCGGUGAAAUGCAUAGAUAUGUCUCAGAACACCGAUUGCGAAGGCAGCUUACUAUGGUCUUAUUGACGCUGAGGCACGAAAGCGUGGGGAUCAAACAGGAUUAGAUACCCUGGUAGUCCACGCCCUAAACGAUGAACACUCGCUGUUGGCGAUACACAGUCAGCGGCUAAGCGAAAGCGUUAAGUGUUCCACCUGGGGAGUACGGUCGCAAGAUUGAAACUCAAAGGAAUUGACGGGGGCCCGCACAAGCGGAGGAGCAUGUGGUUUAAUUCGAUGAUACGCGAGGAACCUUACCCGGGCUUGAAAGUUAGUGAAUGAUUUAGAGAUAGAUCAGUCCGCAAGGACACGAAACUAGGUGCUGCAUGGCUGUCGUCAGCUCGUGCCGUGAGGUGUUGGGUUAAGUCCCGCAACGAGCGCAACCCCUAUGUUUAGUUGCCAGCACGUCAUGGUGGGGACUCUAAACAGACUGCCUGUGCAAACAGAGAGGAAGGAGGGGACGACGUCAAGUCAUCAUGGCCCUUACGUCCGGGGCUACACACGUGCUACAAUGGAUGGUACAGAGGGCAGCUACAUAGCAAUAUGAUGCGAAUCUCACAAAGCCAUUCACAGUUCGGAUUGGGGUCUGCAACUCGACCCCAUGAAGUUGGAUUCGCUAGUAAUCGCGUAUCAGCAAUGACGCGGUGAAUACGUUCCCGGGCCUUGUACACACCGCCCGUCAAGCCAUGGAAGUUGGGGGUACCUAAAGUAUGUAACCGCAAGGAGCGU